GCUGUGACUCUACAAAGGGAAGCCCUUUCUGUUGUCUAAAUGAAAAGAAAGUGCUUCUCUUUGCUGGGUUACGGUUUGAGA
This 81-nucleotide microRNA precursor is filed under the name Colobus angolensis palliatus. Its description in RNAcentral is "miRNA (ENSCANG00000006392.1)". It matches the Rfam family "mir-515 microRNA precursor family". The record is from RNAcentral. Lineage: Eukaryota; Metazoa; Chordata; Mammalia; Primates; Cercopithecidae.